Molecule: transfer RNA, 50 nt
Filed under: Apis mellifera (honey bee)
Lineage: Eukaryota; Metazoa; Arthropoda; Insecta; Hymenoptera; Apidae
Also listed under: 2 other names
Description: partial tRNA-Leu
Source: RNAcentral
GCAUUGAACUUAAGAUUCAAAUAUAAAGUAUUUUUAAACUUUUAUUAAAA